AUUGAACGCUGGCGGCAGGCCUAACACAUGCAAGUCGAGCGGAUGAAGGGAGCUUGCUCCUGGAUUCAGCGGCGGACGGGUGAGUAAUGCCUAGGAAUCUGCCUGGUAGUGGGGGAUAACGUCCGGAAACGGGCGCUAAUACCGCAUACGUCCUGAGGGAGAAAGUGGGGGAUCUUCGGACCUCACGCUAUCAGAUGAGCCUAGGUCGGAUUAGCUAGUUGGUGGGGUAAAGGCCUACCAAGGCGACGAUCCGUAACUGGUCUGAGAGGAUGAUCAGUCACACUGGAACUGAGACACGGUCCAGACUCCUACGGGAGGCAGCAGUGGGGAACAUUGGACAAUGGGCGAAAGCCUGAUCCAGCCAUGCCGCGUGUGUGAAGAAGGUCUUCGGAUUGUAAAGCACUUUAAGUUGGGAGGAAGGGCAGUAAGUUAAUACCUUGCUGUUUUGACGUUACCAUCAGAAUAAGCACCGGCUAACUUCGUG
This 484-nucleotide ribosomal RNA is filed under the name uncultured bacterium. Its description in RNAcentral is "partial 16S ribosomal RNA". It matches the Rfam family "Bacterial small subunit ribosomal RNA", at positions 30 to 507 of the family's 1533-position model. The record is from RNAcentral.